Long non-coding RNA from Lingula anatina, 526 nucleotides. The record is from RefSeq and is a predicted model, not a curated record. Lineage: Eukaryota; Metazoa; Brachiopoda; Lingulata; Lingulida; Lingulidae.
AUUGACUUUGUGUGUGCAAACAGCAUUUUAAAUUCUCGUGCACCGUGGGUCAGCAAGGUUACAUCGUGGAUCAGCCGACCGCACUCAUAAAAAUAUUCAAUUUCCUACCGUCGAAAAAACCAGACAUACAGUGUAUAUGGCGUGCAAAAUGCCCCUGCAGAAGAUAGACAAUGUUUAACGAAACGGGAAACGAAACAGGAAGUAUCUCACACUAGAUCACAUUAUCAGGUGACAGUUCUACAGUUAGUACAGUCGAGCCCAUCUACCUGAAGCUAGGAACAUCGACACGACUAUGGAUGGCAGGACUGGUACGGGACAGGGAAGCGACGGCAGGGGAAGUGUAAUUUGGCAACUAGUAGCUGGGCUGUUAUUAUAUGUCGCAGCAGUGCCAGGAUGGUGUUGGGUAGUAAUCGGAGUACUGUCUUGUGGAACUACUAUAAUUUGCUGCGUCCUUUGGCGUCAAGGUUCAUACAUAUAUAUAUGGCUAAAACGCAAUAUUGGACGUUGGGGGAUAUUUCCUAUUACU